CCGGGGCAAAGAGCAGUAGUAAGUCAAACGAUUCCCCGUCAGCUACGUGAGCAGCUGCGUUUAAAGUUCCGUUCCUGUUCCGUUCCAUACCUUCCAGGCGAUCUUAGUGGUGCUUUUACAUUCGGAGUGGGGCUGAUCCAAGCGCAGAGGAGGAGGAGGAGGAGGAGAAGAAGGAGGAGGAGGAGGAGGAAGAGGUAAAGCAAGUCCCGGCGCUCUCCUCCACGGACGGCAUAGCUGCUGCUGCUGCUGUUGCUGCUGUUGCUGUUGCAGCUUGAAGCUAUGUAGAUGAAGAAAAACUUUAUUAUAUGCUAUGUACAGAAGAGGAGAAGGAGCAGGAGGAGGAGGAGGAGGAGGAGGAGGUGCCCAACGACGACUUGGACGAGGAGAAUGAGGAGGAUGAGGAUGGACGUGAAACGACGUAGUGCUCCGCUGUUGCAUUCGUUCAACAAGAUGCGACACCUACAAAAACACGUAAACAGAACAAUUAAAGAGAUUUCAUUUUAAUUCAUACAAUAAAUGCACUAGACUACAUUACGAAA
This 539-nucleotide long non-coding RNA is filed under the name Polistes fuscatus (common paper wasp). Its description in RNAcentral is "uncharacterized LOC122525463". Lineage: Eukaryota; Metazoa; Arthropoda; Insecta; Hymenoptera; Vespidae. The record is from RNAcentral.